CAGUGACUCAGCCCCUGUAAUAGGGUUAGAGGCAGAGAAUCCCAGUGGAGAGAGGGGAAACGGUCAGGCAGAGACAGCAAGGGUGGUUUGUUGCUCCAGUGCCUUUCCAUUCAGCUUCACACUCCUGGGCCAGACUACACUCAGUCAUAGGACCUACUGAAGAGAUGAGUCUUCAGCAAAGACUUAAAGGUUGAGACCGAGUCUGCGUCUCUCACAUGGGUAGGCAGACCAUUCCAUAAAAAUGGAGCUCUAUAGGAGAAAGCCCUGCCUCCAGCUGUUUGCUUAGAAAUUCUAGGGACAGUAAGGAGGCGUGCGUCUUGUGAACGUAGCGUACAUGUAGGUAUGUACGGCAGGACCAAAUCGGAAAGAUAGGUAGGAGCAAGCCCAUGUAAUGCUUUGUAGGUUAGCAGUAAAACCUUGAAAUCAGCCCUUGCCUUAACAGGAAGCCAGUGUAGAGAGGCUAGCACUGGAGUAAUAUGAUCACAUUUUGGGGUUCUAGUCAAGAUUCUAGCAGCCGUGUUUAACACUAACUGAAGUUUAUUUAGUGCUUUAUCCGGGUAGCCGGAAAGUAGAGCAUUGCAGUAGUCUAACCUAGAAGUAACAAAAGCAUAUAUUCAUUUUUUCUGCAUUAAGCUUCUGACUUUUGCAAUGUUACGUAGAUGGAAAAAAGCUGUCCUUGAAACAGUCUUGAUAUAUUCGUCAAAAGAGAGAUCAGGGUCCAGAGUAACGCCAAGGUCCUUCACAGUUUUAUUUGAGACGACUGUACAACCAUCAAGAUUAAUUGUCAGAUUCAACAGAAGAUCUCUUUGUUUCUUGGGACCUAGAACAAGCGUCUCUGUUUUGUCCAAGUUUAAAAGUAGAACAUUUGCAGCCAUCCACUUCCUUAUGUCUGAAACACAGGCUUCCAGGGAGGGCAAUUUUUGGGCUUCACCAUGUUUCAUCGAAAUGUACAGCUGUGUGUCAUCCGCAUAGCAGUGAAAGUUAACAUUAUGUUUCCAAAUGACAUCACCAAGAGGUAAAAUAUAUAGUGAAAACAAUGGUGGUCCUAAAACGGAACCUUGAGGAACACCGAAAUUUACAGUUGAUUUGUCAGAAGACAAACCAUCCACAGAGACAAACUAAUAUCUUUCCGACAGAUAAGAUCUAAACCAGGCCAGAACUUGUCCGUGUAGACCAAUUUGGGUUUCCAAUCUCUCCAAAAGAAUGUGGUGAUCGAUGGUGUCAAAAGCAGCACUAAGGUCUAGGAGCACAAAGACAGAUGCAGAGCCUCGGUCUGAUGCCAUUAAAAGGUCAUUUUCCACCUUCACAAGUGCAGUCUCAAUGCUAUGAUGGGGCUAAAACCAGACUGAAGCAUUUCGUAUACUUUGUUUGUCUUCAGGAAGGUAGUGAGUUGCUGCGUAACAGCUUUUUCAAAAAUUUAGAGAGGAAUAGGAGAUUCGAUAUAGGCCGAUAGUUUUUUAUAUUUUCUGUGUCAAGGUUUGGCUUUUUCAAGAGAGGCUUUAUUACUCCACUUUUCACAUCCCACUUAUCAUUGUGGUAUUAUAUGGUUAAUGGGACAAGGUUACUGUAGGUGUGUCUUAUUUUCUGUCUCCUAGGAUGAGUCCUCUGCAAUGUGUGCCAUGAUUGCAGACAGAAACACUGGUUUAGGCGACAAGAUAACAAUACCGCUCAGUGCACCAGAUGAUCCCUCUGUAAUGUAUGAUACGGUUCAAGAACCCAGAAACAACAACCAAGAGGAGACAACAACACCCCUCAGUGCUCCAGAGGAUCCCUCAGUGACAUACUCCACCAUCGUCCACAUGAAAGGAAAAAGGAACGCAGUAGUGAGUCUGGAGAGAGGUGGAGAAACAGAGUACGCCACUAUCAAGACAGGCACGUUCUCCUAGAGCCACUGUACAAUAGGCCUACAGCCAUCUCACAGCCUUUUCCUGCAGAGAGAUCUCAUAUUGGGCCCAGUAUCAAGAGGUUUGAUCUGGCACACAUGACGAUAAAUAUAUUUCACUCUCUACUAAGACAUGUUGAGUGGUUAUCACAGGAGAUCAGAUGUUAACCUACAACCAAAAUAAUAAAGUCCCAGAGAUAUAGGCAAGAUGAUUGGUGAAGCAAUAAGAUACCAUUUUGUUUUUGUGUAGCUGAGACAAUCAAAGCAACUUAUAUGGCUUAAAGUUCAGCCAGUUCUCUUUUUAUAUCGUUGUUGUGCAUUUAUUUUUAAAUCUGUAAACUUUUUGAAAUAGAGACGGAUGAUUUCAUACGUUUGAGAAAAGGGAAAAUGUGGUUUGAUGUGUCAAAGCAACAAAAAAAAAAGAUUUCACAAUCAGUAUUGCAAGAGGUUGCUAUCAUCCAUCUUAAUUUAUACACUAUACUUCUUAUUUUUCUGUCAAGUAACUGGUAUACACUGAGCAUUUCAUCAUUCUCGAAGUUGUGAAAACAACCUCAACAUGUUGUCAAAACCUGUUAGUUAGCUACAGUACUUCCUCUUUCGUGUAAUGGACAAAUCACAUAUUGUGGACUUCCUGAAGAGGGAAAGCAGUCUAACAAGGUCAUCAACUGAAGCAUACACUUCUGAAGUGCACAACUAACAGGGAAUGACAUGUUUAAGUGUGUCCUUUUCUUUGUCAUUUGACAAAGUCAGAUUCUCCAAUCAUAACUGUAAAUACACUGAACAAAGAUAUAUACGCAACAUGUAAAGUGUUGGUCCUACAGUAUGUUUCAUGAGCUGAAAUAAAAGAUCACAGAAAUGUUCCAUACACACAAAAAGCUUAUUUCUAUCCCAGGCCCACCCAUGGCUGUACCUCUGCCCAGUCAUGUGAAAUCCAUAAAUUAGGGCCUAAUUGAUUUAUUUCAAUUGACUGAUUUCCUUAUAUGAACUGUAACUCAGUAAAAUGUUUGAAAUUGUUGCAUAUUGCAUUUCUAUUUUUGUUCAGUAUACAUAUGAGGACACCGAGAUCCAGACUUCUGUAAUUUUAUCUAAUCUGACAAAUAAAUGAAUAACGCAAAUCUAUAUUUUAUACACAAUAAAGAAAAUAAAUGAUGGGUCAACAUCUAAAUAUUGCUUCCAGUGUCGAUCAACACUCACUAGAGAAGUAGGCAAAACUAGAAACGCCGCUCUGCGGACAAAAGGCAAUUUUAAAACUCUUCUGUGACUCCUGCCAUGUCUACAGACAUCCCCAAACAAACAGAAACGCAGUGGUGGAAAGAGUACUCAAUUGUCAUACUUGAGUAAAAGUAAAGAUACCUAAAUAGAAAAUGACUCAAGUAAAAGUGAAAGUCACCCAGUAAAAUACUACUUGAGUAAAAGUCUAAAAGUAUGUGGUUUUAAAUAUACUAAAGUAUCAAAAGUAAAUGUAAUUGCUAAUAUAUACUUAGUAAUCAAAGUAAAAGUAUAAAUAACUUCCAAUUCCUUAUAUUAAGCAAACCAGACGGCACAAUUGUAUUACCUUAUGAAUAGCUAGGGGCACACCCCAACACUCAGACAUCAUUUACAAACAAAGCAUCUGUGUUUAGUGAGUCCACCAGAUCAGACGCAGUAGAUGACCAGGGAUGUUCUCUUAAUAAGUGCGUGAAUUGGACCAUUUUCAUGUCUUGCUAAGCAUUAAAAUGUAAACACGUAGUUUUGGGUAUCAGGAAAAAUGUAUGGACUAAAAAAUACAUUAUUUUCUUUAGGAAUGUAGUGAAGUAAUAUAACUGGUAAAGUAAAGUACAGAUACCCCAAAAAAUGACUUAAGUAGUAUUUUAAAGCAUUUUUACUUAAGUACUUUACACCACUGCAAAAACGACUCUCUGAGAAUGAGUGCACAACUGGUAAAUGGUGCUGCCAAUGACUGGAACGAACUACAAAAAUCUCGGAAACUGGAAACGCUUAUCUCCCUCACUAGCUUUAAGCACCAGCUGUCAGAGCAGCUCACAGAUCACUGCACCUGUACAUAGCCCAUCUAUAAUUUAGCCCAUACAACUACCUCUUCCCCUAAUGUAUUUAUUUAUUUAU
Molecule: long non-coding RNA, 3985 nt
Filed under: Salmo salar (Atlantic salmon)
Lineage: Eukaryota; Metazoa; Chordata; Actinopteri; Salmoniformes; Salmonidae
Description: lncRNA (ENSSSAG00000114762.1)
Source: RNAcentral